This is a non-coding RNA of Acanthosepion pharaonis, 113 nucleotides long. The record is from the annotation of a GenBank genome assembly. Lineage: Eukaryota; Metazoa; Mollusca; Cephalopoda; Sepiida; Sepiidae.
UUACGAUCCCACCAGAUUGAAACACAUGUUUCCGUCCGAUGACAAAAGUUAGGCAUCAUCGAGCCUGGUCAGUACCAGGAUGGAUGACUGCUUGGGAAUACUAAAGUGCUGUG